This 253-nucleotide ribosomal RNA is filed under the name uncultured bacterium. RNAcentral describes it as "partial 16S ribosomal RNA". It matches the Rfam family "Bacterial small subunit ribosomal RNA", at positions 524 to 776 of the family's 1533-position model. The record is from RNAcentral.
UACGUAGGGGGCAAGCGUUGUCCGGAUUUACUGGGCGUAAAGAGCGCGCAGGCGGUCGGGUAAGUGGGGUGUGAAAGCCCCCGGCUCAACUGGGGAGGGUCACGCGAUACUGAUCGACUCGAAGGCAGGAGAGGGAAGCGGAAUUCCCGGUGUAGUGGUGAAAUGCGUAGAUAUCGGGAGGAACACCAGUGGCGAAGGCGGCUUCCUGGCCUGUUCUUGACGCUGAGGCGCGAAAGCUAGGGGAGCAAACGGG